ACCAUCUGAGCCACCAGGGAAGCCCACCAUCCCUGAUAGAAGAGGACUGGUCUUCCGUCAAGGGUAUAGGAGUAGCUGUGCUCCCCUGCUAGAACUUCCAAACAAGCUAUCAAGGUGUCCUUAUAAGAAGAGGAAAUUAGG
RNAcentral lists this small RNA (141 nucleotides) under Bos mutus (wild yak). RNAcentral's name for it is "7SK RNA (ENSBMUG00000014439.1)". It matches the Rfam family "7SK RNA", at positions 127 to 267 of the family's 331-position model. From Rfam's summary of the family: 7SK was discovered as an abundant small nuclear RNA in the mid-70s but a possible function has only recently been suggested. Two independent studies have found that 7SK RNA binds the CDK9/cyclin T complex (known as elongation factor P-TEFb). The record is from RNAcentral. Lineage: Eukaryota; Metazoa; Chordata; Mammalia; Artiodactyla; Bovidae.